This 468-nucleotide ribosomal RNA is filed under the name uncultured bacterium. RNAcentral describes it as "partial 16S ribosomal RNA". It matches the Rfam family "Bacterial small subunit ribosomal RNA", at positions 28 to 507 of the family's 1533-position model. The record is from RNAcentral.
GACGAACGCUGGCGGCGUGCUUAACACAUGCAAGUCGAGCGGAAAGGCCCUGCGUUUGUGGGGUGCUCGAGUGGCGAACGGGUGAGUAACACGUGAGUAACCUGCCCUUGACUUUGGGAUAACUUCAGGAAACUGGGGCUAAUACCGGAUAGGAGCUCCUGCUGCAUGGUGGGGGUUGGAAAGUUUCGGCGGUUGGGGAUGGACUCGCGGCUUAUCAGCUUGUUGGUGGGGUAGUGGCUUACCAAGGCUUUGACGGGUAGCCGGCCUGAGAGGGUGACCGGCCACAUUGGGACUGAGAUACGGCCCAGACUCCUACGGGAGGCAGCAGUGGGGAAUAGUGCACAAUGGGCGGAAGCCUGAUGCAGCAACGCCGCGUGCGGGAUGACGGCCUUCGGGUUGUAAACCGCUUUCGCCUGUGACGAAGCGUGAGUGACGGUAAUGGGUAAAGAAGCACCGGCUAACUACGUG